GAGUUUGAUCCUGGCUCAGGAUGAACGCUGGCGGCGUGCUUAACACAUGCAAGUCGAACGGGCUCAUAUUGAAACCUAGUGAUGUAUGAGUUAGUGGCGGACGGGUGAGUAACGCGUGGAGAACCUGCCGUAUACUGGGGGAUAACACUUAGAAAUAGGUGCUAAUACCGCAUAAGCGCACAGCUUCGCAUGAAGCAGUGUGAAAAACUCCGGUGGUAUACGAUGGAUCCGCGUCUGAUUAGCUGGUUGGCGGGGUAACAGCCCACCAAGGCGACGAUCAGUAGCCGGCCUGAGAGGGUGAACGGCCACAUUGGGACUGAGACACGGCCCAAACUCCUACGGGAGGCAGCAGUGGGGAAUAUUGCACAAUGGGGGAAACCCUGAUGCAGCGACGCCGCGUGAGUGAAGAAGUAUUUCGGUAUGUAAAGCUCUAUCAGCAGGGAAGAAAAUGACGGUACCUGACUAAGAAGCCCCGGCUAACUACGUGCCAGCAGCCGCGGUAAUACGUAGGGGGCAAGCGUUAUCCGGAUUUACUGGGUGUAAAGGGAGCGUAGACGGCAGCGCAAGUCUGAAGUGAAAUCCCAUGGCUUAACCAUGGAACUGCUUUGGAAACUGUGCAGCUGGAGUGCAGGAGAGGUAAGCGGAAUUCCUAGUGUAGCGGUGAAAUGCGUAGAUAUUAGGAGGAACACCAGUGGCGAAGGCGGCUUACUGGACUAU
Molecule: ribosomal RNA, 717 nt
Filed under: uncultured bacterium
Lineage: Bacteria
Description: bacterial SSU rRNA
Rfam family: Bacterial small subunit ribosomal RNA
Source: RNAcentral